RNAcentral lists this ribosomal RNA (669 nucleotides) under Bacillus pumilus. RNAcentral's name for it is "bacterial SSU rRNA". It matches the Rfam family "Bacterial small subunit ribosomal RNA", at positions 564 to 1231 of the family's 1533-position model. Lineage: Bacteria; Bacillati; Bacillota; Bacilli; Caryophanales; Bacillaceae. The record is from RNAcentral.
AGGGCUUCGCAGGCGGUUUUUUAAGUCUGAAUGUGAAAGCCCCCGGCUCAACCGGGGAGGGUCAUUGGAAACUGGGAAACUUGAGUGCAGAAGAGGAGAGUGGAAUUCCACGUGUAGCGGUGAAAUGCGUAGAGAUGUGGAGGAACACCAGUGGCGAAGGCGACUCUCUGGUCUGUAACUGACGCUGAGGAGCGAAAGCGUGGGGAGCGAACAGGAUUAGAUACCCUGGUAGUCCACGCCGUAAACGAUGAGUGCUAAGUGUUAGGGGGUUUCCGCCCCUUAGUGCUGCAGCUAACGCAUUAAGCACUCCGCCUGGGGAGUACGGUCGCAAGACUGAAACUCAAAGGAAUUGACGGGGGCCCGCACAAGCGGUGGAGCAUGUGGUUUAAUUCGAAGCAACGCGAAGAACCUUACCAGGUCUUGACAUCCUCUGACAACCCUAGAGAUAGGGCUUUCCCUUCGGGGACAGAGUGACAGGUGGUGCAUGGUUGUCGUCAGCUCGUGUCGUGAGAUGUUGGGUUAAGUCCCGCAACGAGCGCAACCCUUGAUCUUAGUUGCCAGCAUUCAGUUGGGCACUCUAAGGUGACUGCCGGUGACAAACCGGAGGAAGGUGGGGAUGACGUCAAAUCAUCAUGCCCCUUAUGACCUGGGCUACACACGUGCUACAAU